GCAGAGGGUAGCUCCCCUCCUGCCUGUGGCUUGCGCUGGCCUAGAGAGUAUAGGGCAGAAGGAUGGCAGAUGAGUGACUCCGCAUCCAGAGCUGCCUCCCUUUAAUCCAGGAUCCUGUCCUUCCUGUCCUGUAGGAGUGCCUGUCGCCAGUGUGGGGUGAGACAAGUUUGUCCCACAGGGCUGUCUGAGCAGAUAAGAUUAAGGGCUGGGUCUGUGCUCAGUUAACUCCUGUGGGCACAGGGGCUGGGAAGAGCAAAGUCAGCGGUGCCUACAGUCAGCACCAUGCUGGGCCUGCCGUGGAAGGGAGGUCUGCCCUGGGCGCUGCUGCUGCUUCUCUUAGGCUCCCAGAUCCUGCUGAUCUAUGCCUGGCAUUUCCACGAGCAAAGGGACUUGACGAACACAAUGUCAUGGCUCGUUACCUCCCUGCCACAGUGGAGUUUGCUGUCCACACAUUCAACCAACAGAGCAAGGACUACUAUGCCUACAGACUGGUGCACAUCUUGAAUUCCUGGAAGGAGCAGGUGGAGUCCAAGACUGUAUUCUCAAUGGAGCUACUGCUGGGGAGAACUAGGUGUGGGAAAUUUGAAGACGACAUUGACAACUGCCCUUUCCAAGAAAGCACAGAGCUGAACAAUACUUUAACCUGCUUCUUCACCAUCAGCACCAGGCCCUGGAUGACUCAGUUCAGCCUCCUGAACAAGACCUGCUUGGAGGGAUUCCACUGAGUGAAACCCACUCACAGGCUUGUCCAUGUGCUGCUCCCACAUUCCGUGGACAUCAGCACUUCUCUCCUGAGGACUCUUCAGUGGCUGAGCAGCUUUGGACUUGUUUGUUAUCCUAUUUUGCAUGUGUUUGAGAUCUCAGAUCAGUGUUUUAGAAAAUCCACACAUCUUGAGCCUAAUCAUGUAGUGUAGAUCAUUAAACAUCAGCAUUUUAAGAAA
Molecule: RNA transcript, 941 nt
Organism: Pan troglodytes (chimpanzee)
Lineage: Eukaryota; Metazoa; Chordata; Mammalia; Primates; Hominidae
Gene: CST9L
Gene name: cystatin 9 like
Exons: 3
Source: RefSeq, a predicted model, not a curated record